This 393-nucleotide ribosomal RNA is filed under the name uncultured bacterium. Its description in RNAcentral is "bacterial SSU rRNA". It matches the Rfam family "Bacterial small subunit ribosomal RNA", at positions 618 to 1007 of the family's 1533-position model. The record is from RNAcentral.
GACCUGCAGUGGGUACGGGCACACUAGAGUGCGGUAGGGGAGAUUGGAAUUCCUGGUGUAGCGGUGGAAUGCGCAGAUAUCAGGAGGAACACCAAUGGCGAAGGCAGAUCUCUGGGCCGUAACUGACGCUGAGGAGCGAAAGCGUGGGGAGCGAACAGGAUUAGAUACCCUGGUAGUCCACGCCGUAAACGGUGGGAACUAGAUGUGGGGUCCGUUCCACGGAUUCCGUGUCGCAGCCAACGCAUUAAGUUCCCCGCCUGGGGAGUACGGCCGCAAGGCUAAAACUCAAAGGAAUUGACGGGGGCCCGCACAAGCGGCGGAGCAUGCGGAUUAAUUCGAUGCAACGCGAAGAACCUUACCAAGGCUUGACAUAUAGAGGAAAGGUGCAGAAAU